CGGCAGGCUUAACACAUGCAAGUCGAGGGGCAUCGGGGAGGAAGCUUGCUUUCUCCGCCGGCGACCGGCGCACGGGUGAGUAACACGUAUGCAACCUGCCCCUGUCAGGGGGACAACCCGCCGAAAGGCGGGCUAAACCCGCGUACAUGCCACCGGGGCAUCCCGGAGGCAGGAAAGGCUUCGGCCGGACAGGGAUGGGCAUGCGGCGCAUUAGGCAGUAGGCGGGGUAACGGCCCACCUAACCGACGAUGCGUAGGGGUUCUGAGAGGAAGGUCCCCCACACUGGUACUGAGACACGGACCAGACUCCUACGGGAGGCAGCAGUGAGGAAUAUUGGUCAAUGGUCGGGAGACUGAACCAGCCAAGCCGCGUGAGGGAGGAAGGUACAGAGUAUCGUAAACCUCUUUUGUCAGGGAACAAAGGCGGGGACGUGUCCCCGGAUGAGUGUACCUGAAGAAAAAGCAUCGGCUAACUCCGUGCCAGCAGCCGCGGUAAUACGGAGGAUGCGAGCGUUAUCCGGAUUUAUUGGGUUUAAAGGGUGCGCAGGCGGUCUGUUAAGUCAGCGGUCAAAGCCCGGGGCUCAACCCCGGCCUGCCGUUGAAACUGGCAGUCUCGAGUUGGAGAGAAGUAUGCGGAAUGCGCGGUGUAGCGGUGAAAUGCAUAGAUAUCGCGCAGAACUCCGAUUGCGAAGGCAGCAUGCCGGCUCCACACUGACGCUGAGGCACGAAAGCGUGGGUAUCGAACAGGAUUAGAUACCCUGGUAGUCCACGCAGUAAACGAUGAAUGCUGGCUGUCCGGGGGGAUUGACCCCUGGGUGGCGAAGCGAAAGCGAUAAGCAUUCCACCUGGGGAGUACGCCGGCAACGGUGAAACUCAAAGGAAUUGACGGGGGCCCGCACAAGCGGAGGAACAUGUGGUUUAAUUCGAUGAUACGCGAGGAACCUUACCCGGGCUCAAACGGGGAGUGACUCAGGCAGAGACGCCUGUUUCCCACGGGACACUCCCCGAGGUGCUGCAUGGUUGUCGUCAGCUCGUGCCGUGAGGUGUCGGCUUAAGUGCCAUAACGAGCGCAACCCCCGCGUGCAGUUGCUAACAGAUAACGCUGAGGACUCUGCACGGACUGCCGGCGCAAGCCGCGAGGAAGGCGGGGAUGACGUCAAAUCAGCACGGCCCUUACGUCCGGGGCGACACACGUGUUACAAUGGGUGGUACAGCGGGAAGCCAGGCGGCGACGCCGAGCGGAACCCGAAAUCCACUCUCAGUUCGGAUCGGAGUCUGCAACCCGACUCCGUGAAGCUGGAUUCGCUAGUAAUCGCGCAUCAGCCAUGGCGCGGUGAAUACGUUCCCGGGC
RNAcentral lists this ribosomal RNA (1350 nucleotides) under uncultured bacterium. Its description in RNAcentral is "partial 16S ribosomal RNA". It matches the Rfam family "Bacterial small subunit ribosomal RNA", at positions 40 to 1379 of the family's 1533-position model. The record is from RNAcentral.